This 319-nucleotide ribosomal RNA is filed under the name uncultured Bacillota bacterium. RNAcentral describes it as "bacterial SSU rRNA". It matches the Rfam family "Bacterial small subunit ribosomal RNA", at positions 28 to 351 of the family's 1533-position model. Lineage: Bacteria; Bacillati; Bacillota. The record is from RNAcentral.
GAUGAACGCUGGCGGCGUGCCUAAUACAUGCAAGUCGUACGAAGGAGCUUGCUCCUUAGUGGCGAACGGGUGAGUAAUACAUAAAUAAUCUGCCUCAAUGUCUGGGAUAACUAUUGGAAACGAUAGCUAAUACCGGAUAGCUAAUCGGAAGACAUCUUCUGAUUACUAAAGGAGCGUUCGCUCCGCUUUGAGAUGAGUUUAUGGUGCAUUAGUUAGUUGGCGGGGUAAUGGCCCACCAAGACGAUGAUGCGUAGCCGAUCUGAGAGGAUGACCGGCCACACUGGGACUGAGACACGGCCCAGACUCCUACGGGUGGCUG